This 539-nucleotide ribosomal RNA is filed under the name uncultured Bacteroidales bacterium. Its description in RNAcentral is "bacterial SSU rRNA". It matches the Rfam family "Bacterial small subunit ribosomal RNA", at positions 179 to 715 of the family's 1533-position model. Lineage: Bacteria; Pseudomonadati; Bacteroidota; Bacteroidia; Bacteroidales. The record is from RNAcentral.
UCUUAAGCACGCAUGAGAUUAAGAUUAAAGAUUUAUCGGUAAGCGAUGGGGAUGCGUUCCAUUAGGCAGUUGGCGGGGUAACGGCCCACCAAACCUACGAUGGAUAGGGGUUCUGAGAGGAAGGUCCCCCACAUUGGAACUGAGACACGGUCCAAACUCCUACGGGAGGCAGCAGUGAGGAAUAUUGGUCAAUGGGCGAGAGCCUGAACCAGCCAAGUAGCGUGAAGGAUGACGGCCCUACGGGUUGUAAACUUCUUUUGUGCGGGAAUAAAGGAGCCUACGUGUAGGUUUUUGCAUGUACCGUAACGAAUAAGCAUCGGCUAACUCCGUGCCAGCAGCCGCGGUAAUACGGAGGAUGCGAGCGUUAUCCGGAUUUAUUGGGUUUAAAGGGAGCGUAGACGGGUUUUUAAGUCAGCUGUGAAAGUUUGGGGCUCAACCUUAAAAUUGCAGUUGAAACUGGAGACCUUGAGUACGGUUGAGGCAGGCGGAAUUCGUGGUGUAGCGGUGAAAUGCUUAGAUAUCACGAAGAACUCCGAUUG